AGAGAGAGAGAUUUUGUUUCCUGAAGGCUGCUCUUGCCCUCAAUAUUGUAACAAAAGACUCUAACAAGAUCUAUACGAGUUAUGAGCCAGGAAUUGUAGAAAAAGUGCAAUAUAUAUAUAGGAAACACAUUAUAAAGUCAAUGAAUAACUGCUGAAUGAGUAUUUUGAGGACAAAUAGAAGAACCCAUAAGCAAAUCGAUGGGAAGCCUACCAGGCCACUCUGGAGAUGGAGUUUCACUGUUGUUACCCAGACUGGAGUGCAAUGGCACGAUCUUGGCUCACCGCAACCUCCGCCUUCUGAGUUCAAGCAAUUCUCCUGCCUCAGCCUCUUGUGUCUCCUGAGUAGCUGGGACUACAGGUGCGUACCACCAUGCCCAGCUAGUUUUUUGUAUUUUUAAUAGAGACAGGGUUUCACCAUGUUGACCAGGAUGGUCUCGAUCUCUUGACCUUGUGAUCCACCCGCCUCGGCCUCCCACAGUGCUGGGAUUAUAGGCGUGAGCCACUGCGCCUGGCCAGAAAACUUUCUUAAGUUCAUGAGGUAAUCAAUGUCUGAGCCAGAGUAAGACUUUAACAAUUUUAGCCCAAUAAUCCACUCAGCUUUUUGGGUUAGAAAUACAAGUGUUAAACUGUGACUGAAAAUGGGCACAUAUAUAUUGUAUCACAGUUAUGUAUAAGUAGUUAGGUAUAAAAAAUAUAUCAAGCCAAAUUGUUGAAGUGGGAUACCUCUGAAUAGUUUCAUAAAAUUAAGGUAGGAUUACAAUUUUAGGUGUCAGAACAGUCAUGACAAGGCUUGAAAUUCUAAAGAUCAGGAUAAAUGAUUUUUAUUCUGGAAAAUAAUUUUCUUUCCAGUUUUGUUAUAUUAUCUAGUAUCAAAGUCCUAGAUAUAAACCAGGUACACAGAAAAUAUUAAUACAUGUUAAAUUGAAAAAACUACCAUGGUCGGUAGUUUCAAAUAUUAGCCACUAACAAGAGAAGGUCUGUGUAAUUUACAGAAAAGAGAUAAGAAUGCAGGUAGGGAAGACAUAAUAAAGAGGAAUAAUUUGUAAAUCAUGACAAUUUAAAAAAAUAGGUGUUAUUUAGGUCUUUAUUAAUCUCUGCCAGUUCAAAGAAAUUUGAACUGAAAUCCGCAAAAUCACAAGCAAAAUCUAUUAGAGGAGCUUUUUAGGAGAAAACUAAAACUUAGAUGAAUUGUAAGCUUAAUAGCUGCUUUUUGGUAAAGGCAAAAAAUGUUCCUGUGUUAACCAAAUUUCCUUAUGACCAGUGGAACACAUCUGUAAGGUGGUUCCUAGGAUGGGAUGGGGAAAGUGAUGUCAAAAGCGUAGAAACCAAUCUCCUACCGGGUUCAAAUCACAGCAUGACACUGUUGACUAUGCUCAUAUAUGUGCACUCACCUAUUUAACUACAUUUUUACAUAGAGCGGGUUUUAUUUCCUAACUUAACAUUUGGUCUGAUUUUUCUACCACUGAUGUAUAUUUUCCUUACUCUCAAUAAAAAGUUAUUGUCAUAUUUUCUUCUUCUGUAUUCCCUUCUAUGUCUUAAAAUUUCUGGCUUCUGAUAUGCUUUUUAUUUACAUAUAAACCCAGGGUGUCUAAUCUUUUGGCUUCCCUGGGGCACACUGGAAGAAGAGUUGUCUUGGGCCACACAUAAAGUACACUAACGGUAACAAUAGCUGAUGAGCUUAAAAAAAAAAAUGUAAAAAAAAAAAAAAUCUCAUAAUGUUUGAAGAAAGUUUACAAAUUCAUGUUGCGCCACAUUCAAAGCUGUCUUGGGUCGCAUGCAGCUGGUGGGCACCAUGGUUUGGACAAGCUUAAAAUAAACCAUAGCAGUCUAUAGUUCUUUUAGUUUGAAUAAUAAUAAAAAAAUUAAGUGCAUUGUUACUCUUUCAUGUGUUUCAAUACUUGAGAAUAAAAGCUGGAUACAAUAAACGUAUCAACAGGUAAAAACAUAUGGACAAAUUCCUGAGUAUCAUAGCAUACACUGUGCCUGAUACACAGCAGGCUUACAAUAAUUGAUUGAAUAACUGGUUGAUUAGCAGAAUAAAUGACAGAGAGAAACAGGAAGAUUCUGGGCAUUAUGAGAGAGGCAGGAAUUUACCUCUAAAAAGUUCUUCUGGCACAUAACCAUACAGACUAAAUUCACUUGCUUUUCUGAAGGAAUACCAAACCUUCCAUUCAAAAACAGUAGCCGUAUUAAGAGAAGCUGUCAUAUCCCACACCAAAACUAGGCUAGGCAAGAAGAGAACUGUAUUUGAGAGAGGGAUUUCAGACAGACUUUGUUCUCAAUGCUAAAUGCAGCUGAAGUGUCAGAGUUCUAUAAAUAUUAUUUACAGAUAUACAAACGUGAUAAACAACAGAGUACUAGUGUCUCAAAACAGGAAAAGUUCAGCAACACAGGAUGGUGGAAAUACAGCUGAGUACACGAAGCAAGGUAUAAGUUGAAGACAUGUAUUAAGGCCCUAGAAAAUAAUAGUAUUUAACAAAUGUCACCCUGGGUUACUGAACUUCUAGUCCUCUGGAGGGACAUGAAAGGUGAUGGAAGUCUUACCUUUCUGUUUCCUACCAGCCUGGGUCAGCCACAUUGCUCCCAUCCAGCUCUCAAUUCCCACCCAGUUCACAGGAGUGUCACAAACCUGCCCUUAUUCUUUUAUUUUUUAAUCGCGGUAAAUUAUAUAUAACAUAAAAUUUGCCGUUUUAACUAUUUCCCCCACCCCCCCUUUUUUUUUGGAGUCUCCCACUGUCACCCAGGCUGUAGUGCAGUGGUGCGAUCUCGGCUCACUGCAAUCUCUGCCUCCUGGGUUCAAGAAGUUCUCCUGCCUCAGCCUCCCGAGUAGCUGGGACUAUAGGCGUGCACCACCAGGCCCAGCUAAUUUUUUUUUUUCUAUUUUUAGUAGAGAUGGGGUUUCACCAUGUUGGCCAGGAUGGUCUCCAUCUCCUGAUCUCAUUAUCUGCCUG
Callithrix jacchus (white-tufted-ear marmoset) is the source of this 2951-nucleotide long non-coding RNA. RefSeq lists it as uncharacterized. The record is from RefSeq and is a predicted model, not a curated record. NCBI's taxonomy places the organism in Eukaryota, Metazoa, Chordata, Mammalia, Primates, Cebidae.